This 506-nucleotide ribosomal RNA is filed under the name uncultured bacterium. RNAcentral's name for it is "partial 16S ribosomal RNA". It matches the Rfam family "Bacterial small subunit ribosomal RNA", at positions 29 to 523 of the family's 1533-position model. The record is from RNAcentral.
AGUGAACGCUGGCGGUAGGCCUAACACAUGCAAGUCGAACGGCAGCACAGGAGAGCUUGCUCUCUGGGUGGCGAGUGGCGGACGGGUGAGGAAUACAUCGGAAUCUACUCUGUCGUGGGGGAUAACGUAGGGAAACUUACGCUAAUACCGCAUACGACCUACGGGUGAAAGCAGGGGAUCUUCGGACCUUGCGCGAUUGAAUGAGCCGAUGUCGGAUUAGCUAGUUGGCGGGGUAAAGGCCCACCAAGGCGACGAUCCGUAGCUGGUCUGAGAGGAGGAUCAGCCACACUGGUACUGAGCCACGGUCCAGACUCCUACGGGAGGCAGCAGUGGGGAAUAGUGGACAAUGGGCGCAAGCCUGAUCCAUCCAUACCGCGUGGGUGAAGAAGGCCUUCGGGUUGUAAAGCCCUUUUGUUGGGAAAGAAAUCCAGCUGGCUAAUACCCGGUUGGGAUGACGGUACCCAAAGAAUAAGCACCGGCUAACUUCGUGCCAGCCGCCGCCGUAA